GACGAACCGAGCGAACGUUUAUUCGGAAUCACUGGGUUUAAAGGGUGCGUAGGCGGGCAGGUAAGUCCGUGGUGAAAAUCUCUGAGCUUAACUCAGAAACUGCCAUGGAUACUAUUUGUCUUGAAUAUUGUGGAGGUAAGCGGAAUAUGUCAUGUAGCGGUGAAAUGCUUAGAUAUGACAUAGAACACCAAUUGCGAAGGCAGCUUACUACACAGUUAUUGACGCUGAGGCAACGAAAGCCGUGGGGAUCAAACAGG
RNAcentral lists this ribosomal RNA (257 nucleotides) under uncultured bacterium. RNAcentral's name for it is "partial 16S ribosomal RNA". It matches the Rfam family "Bacterial small subunit ribosomal RNA", at positions 524 to 776 of the family's 1533-position model. The record is from RNAcentral.